This is a long non-coding RNA of Nerophis ophidion (straightnose pipefish), 1051 nucleotides long. RefSeq lists it as uncharacterized. NCBI's taxonomy places the organism in Eukaryota, Metazoa, Chordata, Actinopteri, Syngnathiformes, Syngnathidae. The transcript has 3 exons. The record is from RefSeq and is a predicted model, not a curated record.
CUAUUUAAGCUCACUUCUCCGUUUGUCCUUUGCCAGAUCGUCUCGUCUAUCGUGCCUUUCUAGCCUCCAUGUCCAUGUCCUGGAUUAGCUCCUUGUCUUGCUCCUGUUUUCCUAGUUACCCUAGUUUUUGCUGUAAUUUUGAGUUUACUUUUUCCUCCUUCAAGCGUCCUUGGUUAUCCUUCGUCUUCCUAAUUGCAAAAGGAGCUCACCCAAAGUCAAACCCGAUAAACAACAACAAUGCAGGGUUUUGGAAGACGACGGUGUCUGUUCGGGAACUGAUUCUUCCUCACCUCCCCAAACUCAGCGUAUAUUCUUUGAUUUUCCGGGAGACUCCUGAAAUUCAGCGCCUCUCCCGAAAACCUCCCAGGACAAAUUUUCUCCAGAAAAUCUCCGGAAAUUUAGGCGGACUUGGAGGCCACGCCCCCUCCAGCUCCAGACCUGACUCAAUGUUGUGACCCUCUUAAACAGGACAAUACUGUCAUCUACUGUACAUAGAAUAUAAUGUAAAUAUAUUCUACAUUUAAGUGCAGUCAAGGAACAUAUGCAUUAGGGAGUCUGUUCUGAAGCCCACAGUAAAGAGACAUAACUUCAUCACGUCGCCUGGUUAUUGACUCCAACCCAAAAUAUUACACCGUCGACGGGCAAAAUGAAGAAAUACGCUUGCAAGUUCCAGAACGAUUGGAAACAAGAAUUUCAGUUUAUCCAGGAGAGUUCGAAGGGGAAGGGAUAUGUUGCCUGUAAAUCUUGUAGAACAGACUUCUCUAUUGAACACGGCGGCCGAACGGAUAUACUCAGCCAUGAACGGUCAGUCAGCGAAGCACAAAGCGUCUGCAGCGCAGCAUCGUUCACAACCCAGUAUUACGGCCCACCUCGCAAAAUGGAGACCCGAUGGUGUAUCUUAUGCUGAGACAAAGAUGGCUAUGCUGAUAGCUGCAAGCAACGUCCCGUUCUCAUUUGCGGAUGUCUACAACAAAUCCGUGAAGGAUGUUCCUGGAUUCGGAGAUCGCUUGCCAAUACGCAAAUGGCAGAACAAAGGUUACUCAAAUAGUGA